AUUGAACGCUGGCGGCAUGCCUUACACAUGCAAGUCGAACGGUAACAGGUCUUCGGAUGCUAACGAGUGGCGAACGGGUGAGUAAUACAUCGGAACGUGCCUAGUAGUGGGGGAUAACUACUCGAAAGAGUGGCUAAUACCACAUGAGAUCUACGGAUGAAAGCAGGGGAUCGCAAGACCUUGUGCUACUAGAGCGGCCGAUGGCAGAUUAGGUAGUUGGUGGGAUAAAAGCUUACCAAGCCGACGAUCUGUAGCUGGUCUGAGAGGACGAUCAGCCACACUGGGACUGAGACACGGCCCAGACUCCUACGGGAGGCAGCAGUGGGGAAUUUUGGACAAUGGGCGAAAGCCUGAUCCAGCAAUGCCGCAUGCAGGAUGAAGGCCUUCGGGUUGUAAACUGCUUUUGUACGGAACGAAAAGCCCCGGGUUAAUACCCUGGGGUCAUGACGGUGCCGUAAGAAUAAGCACCGGCUAACUACGUGCCAGCCGCCGCCGUAA
This 498-nucleotide ribosomal RNA is filed under the name uncultured bacterium. RNAcentral's name for it is "partial 16S ribosomal RNA". It matches the Rfam family "Bacterial small subunit ribosomal RNA", at positions 30 to 523 of the family's 1533-position model. The record is from RNAcentral.